CGGCACUUCGUACCUUCCUCAGCAGCGGGUCCCUGUCAUUAGCAGCAUCAGCAGCGGGUCCCCGUCAUCAGCAGCAGCGGGUCCACGUCAUCAGCAGCAGCGGGUCCCGUCUUUAGCUCCGGCUGGCGCGAGUCCCCAUCAUUUGGAUGUGGCGCCAGUAAACCCCUGCAACAACAGCGUACCGAGGGGAGAGAGUGAGAGGAAGGGAAAGAACUGUGAGUGAAGGGGAGGAGCUGGACCACCUUGGCCAGCGCCGCGGCAGGCCUCCCUCUUGACACUGGAUCUGCACAGGGGCGCAGGGAGUGCGCACCACUGCGCUGCAAUAGCAAGGAGGUCACGGUGUAUGAGUGAACGAUCUCACGUAGAGAUGAACUAUUAAGUCGUCUUUUGGAGAGCGUCAUCUACAACAUUACUGAAGACCCUUGCCAAAUCGAUGAGGCUUCGUGGGCUGCAUCAGGUGGUGGGUUCUGCCUUUGACCACAUGGAUGAAGGGAGCCACAGCCAGUACCACAAGACCAUAUACUCCUUGCUGGACUCUAUAAGUCCGGCGUAUCGGGAGGCGUUUGGCAACGAUCUACUGCGGAGGCUGGAAGCCUUGAAAAAAGACAAACAGUGCUGAGUGUGAUUGUCUGCGGAGCCACAGUCUCAUUCUGAACCUUGUUUUAUCCCUUUACUGCUCCAGUCCCGGCACCCGCAUAUGACGCACGCUCACUGUAUGUUGCAUUUGGAAUCUAAGAUCACCAUACAGACGCCUUGAAAUAUAGUAACCAGAUAGCUGCAGUCAGGUGCCCUGCCACAUGUACAAUCAGUUAAUGUCCACUUUUAUGAAUUUUAACUUUGUGCUCCCCUUGUCUGUAAUGGAGGUAAAGGGCUUCAAUCCGGGACACGAGGGAAAAUUAAUUCUGUUCAUGUGAGGCACCUCUGUCAUGGAAUAUGAUUUUAACUGUAUUUUAUGGGUGAUGUUUGUUAAAUGAAAUGUACAGAAUAGAUAAGUAUUGGUGUUCAGAUUUAGAGCUCGGUUUAUCAAAGCUUGGAGAGAGAUUGAGGGGCAGAUGUAUUAACCUGGAGAAGGCAUAA
Molecule: long non-coding RNA, 1077 nt
Organism: Pseudophryne corroboree (corroboree frog)
Lineage: Eukaryota; Metazoa; Chordata; Amphibia; Anura; Myobatrachidae
Exons: 3
Source: RefSeq, a predicted model, not a curated record